RNAcentral lists this ribosomal RNA (457 nucleotides) under uncultured bacterium. Its description in RNAcentral is "partial 16S ribosomal RNA". It matches the Rfam family "Bacterial small subunit ribosomal RNA", at positions 338 to 795 of the family's 1533-position model. The record is from RNAcentral.
CCUACGUGCGGCAGCAGUGGGGAAUAUUGCACAAUGGGGGAAACCCUGAUGCAGCGACGCCGCGUGAGUGAAGAAGUAAUUCGUUACGUAAAGCUCUAUCAGCAGGGAAGAAACACUGACCUUACGGUCAGCAGACGGUACCUGAGUAAGAAGCCCCGGCUAACUACGUGCCAGCAGCCGCGGUAAUACGUAGGGGGCAAGAGUUAUCCGGAUUUACUGGGCGUAAAGGGAGCGUAGACGGUGCGCCAAGACUGGAGUGAAAUGCCGCAGCUUAACUGCGGAACUGCUUUGGAAACUGGCGAGCUAGAGUGCGGGGGGGGUAAGCGGAGUUCCUAGUGUAGCGGUGAAAUGGGUAGAUAUUAGGAGGAACACCGGUGGCGAAGGCGGCGUACUGGACCGUAACUGACGUUGAGGCUCGAAAGCGUGGGGAGCAAACAGGAUUAGAUACCCCAUAGUC